CGGGGGGAGCAAGCGUUGUUCGGAUUUACUGGGCGUAAAGGGCGCGUAGGCGGCCAGCACAAGUCAGUUGUGAAAUCUCCGAGCUUAACUCGGAAAGGUCAACUGAUACUGUGCGGCUAGAGUGCGGAAGGGGCAACUGGAAUUCUUGGUGUAGCGGUGAAAUGCGUAGAUAUCAAGAGGAACACCUGCGGCGAAGGCGGGUUGCUGGGCCGACACUGACGCUGAGGCGCGAAAGCCAGGGGAGCGAACGGGAUUAGAUACCCCGGUAGUCCUGGCCUUAAACGAUGAAUGCUUGGUGUCUGGGGUUGUAAAGUCCCCGGGUGCCGUCGCUAACGCUUUAAGCAUUCCGCCUGGGGAGUACGGUCGCAAGACUG
Molecule: ribosomal RNA, 374 nt
Filed under: uncultured organism
Description: bacterial SSU rRNA
Rfam family: Bacterial small subunit ribosomal RNA
Source: RNAcentral